This 200-nucleotide unclassified non-coding RNA is filed under the name Arthrographis sp. RNAcentral's name for it is "partial internal transcribed spacer 2". The record is from RNAcentral. Lineage: Eukaryota; Fungi; Ascomycota; Dothideomycetes; Eremomycetales; Eremomycetaceae.
UUAAGUUCAGCGGGUAUCCCCGCCUGAUCCGAGGUCAAGCGUUGCGUGUGUGGUGGCUGUUGCCAGCCGGUUGGGCGGGCGGUCCCCCCGCGCCGUCGUAACGAGCGCGACGAUCGGGGCGAAGGGCCACCGCCAACGGGUUCCGGGGGGGUCGCGCGCGAGGCGCGACGUCCCCCAACACCAAGCGAGGCUUGACGGGU